GAUGAGAACGCAGCGAAAUGCGAUAAGUAAUGUGAAUUGCAGAAUUCAGUGAAUCAUCGAAUCUUUGAACGCACAUUGCGCCCGCCAGUAUUCUGGCGGGCAUGCCUGUCCGAGCGUCAUUUCAACCCUCGGGCCCCCCUCUGCGGGCGGCCCGGCGUUGGGGCUCAGGCGCCGUCUCUGCUCGGCGCCUGUCCCCUAAAUGCAGUGGCGGCCUCGCCGCUGCCUCCUCCGCGUAGUAGCACAAACCUCGCGGCUGGAAGGCGGCGCGGCCACGCCGUAAAACCCCCCAACUUUACCAAGGUUGACCUCGGAUCAGGUAGGAAUACCCGCUGAACUUAAGCAUAUCAAUAAGCGGAGGA
Molecule: unclassified non-coding RNA, 359 nt
Filed under: soil metagenome
Description: partial contains 5.8S ribosomal RNA, internal transcribed spacer 2, and large subunit ribosomal RNA
Rfam family: 5.8S ribosomal RNA (bases 5-119)
Source: RNAcentral